Ostrea edulis (European flat oyster) is the source of this 1586-nucleotide long non-coding RNA. RefSeq lists it as uncharacterized. NCBI's taxonomy places the organism in Eukaryota, Metazoa, Mollusca, Bivalvia, Ostreida, Ostreidae. The transcript has 3 exons. The record is from RefSeq and is a predicted model, not a curated record.
CAGGGGUCUUGGCUGAAGCAGUCGGUGGCACCCAGGCCUGAGCAUCAUUUCCUGCUCCUCGCACAGAGAGGGUGGAUGCGUCACCAGUUGUAGGGUUUCCCUGUCAACUCUCGUGAAUGGUGCAGAGAAGACUCGGCUGGAGGUGGGGUGUUGGUUGACAUGAGGAUUUUACGAAGAGAAGAACUGCCAAUGGGGGUUUGACUGAGACCUAUUUGUAGGCCAUAGUUUAUUGCUGCUGCUUUCCUUCCCCUGGAACCGGAUUCUACUUCGACAUAGAGGCUAUACAUUUUGGACACGUAGGUGCAGGUGUUACAUUUAAGCCGUAACCUAGUGCCCAGGCCACGCCUCUCUUCAGAGUCCAAGUCCCAGGUUAGGUCACCAUCACAGCCUGGAUUGGCCCGCCCAUGUUCUUUGAACUCUGCGUUGAACAUGCCACAUGUCUUUUCCAGAUGCAGCAGUCUGUAGGAGUCAUUUUCACACCUGCCGAAAUCAGUUAUGUACCUGAUUACUUCCUAACCAGGCAAGUUCAUUUUCAGAAAUUAGAGUUACUUCCCUUUGACUAUACUUGUUCUCAAAGUUGAGUCAAGAGGCUCAUCACAGUCCCUAACAACUGUUUUUUGUAACUUUCUCUUCAUAUGAAUGAACAAUUAUUGUAAUGUUGCUAUAAUUUAGAGAGUUUAUUAAUUAUAAAAUUAAUUAAGCUAAUUAAAUUUACAGGAUCUUAGGGAUACCCCUUAUUUCAGCCAAUUUGGCCAUAUGUGGGCCUAUUCUGAGAAUUAGAAAAAAUAUUUUCGACUCAAAGAGGUUUUGUUUCAUAAUUUAAGAAAGUUAGAAGAAUUGUAAUCGUUACCCUGAGGAUUCAGCCUGAUUUAAAGUCUCAUGGUUUCCUUCCUUUUUCAGGGGUCUUGGCUGAAGCAGUCGGUGGCACCCAGGCCUGAGCAUCAUUUCCUACUCCUCGCACAGAGAGGGUGGAUGCGUCACCAGUUGUAGGGUUUCCCUGUCAACUCUCGUGAAUGGUGCAGGAAAAACACCAGAAUUGCCUAGCUACAGGGCGCCGCCAUUGUGGACACCCAAAGUUGUGCGGAGAAGAACAGUUGACAGGAGAUCUGAUUGGUCAUUAACAGAAAAUCUUUGUGAUGGAAUUUAAUAGUGAAAUAUAAGUGAUAAAAAUGACAGGUGACAUAACAGAAUAUGUAGAAAGAUACAGAAGUUAUAAGGGAAGAUCUGAGUGGAGAGGUGAUAUUUGUAUGGACAAUUUCAUUCAGUGCGGAUCUACACUAGUUGUAAACAGGCCAAAAUUUGAAGAAAAAACGCAACGGCAAGCCAUAUAUUUUUGGUGGAAUUUUGAAGGGGAGAUGAUGAACUUUGCUGAAUGGUGACUGAUUUUUUGAAAAUUGGCUUAAUAAAUAAUUGACAGUGAUUGGAAUUUGUAUGGAAGUCUAUGGGAAAACAUUUGGUGGUGUUUGUCCAGUGAAAGUUAUACUUUCGAUAUAUCGGUAAUAGUAUCAAUGCAUGUUCUAUAAAUUCUUUUCAUUUUGAUCUUAGUAAUUCUGUUGGUGUCGUUUAAAUAAAAACUUUCUAUAGCA